This 478-nucleotide ribosomal RNA is filed under the name uncultured bacterium. Its description in RNAcentral is "partial 16S ribosomal RNA". It matches the Rfam family "Bacterial small subunit ribosomal RNA", at positions 28 to 523 of the family's 1533-position model. The record is from RNAcentral.
GACGAACGCUGGCGGCGUGCUUAACACAUGCAAGUCGAACGGUAAGGCCCUUCGGGGUACACGAAUGGCGAACGGGUGAGUAACACGUGGGUGAUCUGCCCUGCACUUCGGGAUAAGCCUGGGAAACUGAGUCUAAUACCGGAUAGGACCACUGCCUGCAUGGGGGGUGGUGGAAAGCUUUUGCGGUGUGGGAUGGGCCCGCGGCCUAUCAGCUUGUGGGUGGGGUGAUGGCCUACCAAGGCGACGACGGGUAGCCGGCCUGAGAGGGUGACCGGCCACACUGGGACUGAGAUACGGCCCAGACUCCUACGGGAGGCAGCAGUAGGGAAUAUUGCACAAUGGGCGCAAGCCUGAUGCAGCGACGCCGCGUGAGGGAUGACGGCCUUCGGGUUGUAAACCUCUUUCAGCACCGACGAAGCGCAAGUGACGGUAGGUGCAGAAGAAGGACCGGCCAACUACGUGCCAGCAGCCGCGGUAA